This 497-nucleotide ribosomal RNA is filed under the name uncultured bacterium. RNAcentral describes it as "partial 16S ribosomal RNA". It matches the Rfam family "Bacterial small subunit ribosomal RNA", at positions 28 to 507 of the family's 1533-position model. The record is from RNAcentral.
GAUGAACGCUGGCGGCGUGCCUAAUACAUGCAAGUCGAGCGAACGGACGAGAAGCUUGCUUUUCUGAUGUGAGCGGCGCACGGGUGAGUAACACGUGGAUACUCUACCUCUCAGACUGGGAUAACUUCGGGAAACCGGCGCUAACACCGGAUAAUAUUUUGAACGGCAUGGUUCAAAAGUGAAAUUCGGUCUUGCUGUCACCUAGCGGUGGAUCCGCGCUGCAGUAGCUAGUUGGUAUGGUAACGGCUUACCAAGGCAACGAUGCAUAGCCGGCCUUAGAGGGGUAUCGGCCACGCUGGAACUGAGGCACGGUCCAGGCUCGUACGGCAGGCAGCAGUAGGGAGUCUUGCGGAAUGGGCGAAAGCUUGACGGUGCAACGACGCGUGAUUGAUGGAGGUCUUGGGGUCGUUGAACUCUGUCAGGUGGGAAGAUCAUAUGUGUAAGUAAGUGUGCUCAUCUUGACGGUACCUGGUCAGGAAGCCACGGCUAACUACGUG